Molecule: ribosomal RNA, 684 nt
Filed under: Triticum aestivum (bread wheat)
Lineage: Eukaryota; Viridiplantae; Streptophyta; Magnoliopsida; Poales; Poaceae
Description: partial small subunit ribosomal RNA
Source: RNAcentral
GGUGUGGAGCACCUAUGUCUCCCGAGCAGGUACCAACCCCUAGCGGUGCGCCGCACGUAGGUCGGGGGAGCCGGAGGAUGAACUGAGGGGACCUACGGGACGCUUGGGAUCGGAGAGGUGAAGAAGGGGGAGCGCGGCGAAAGAAGGUGCGCGUCGGCGGGCGGCAACAGUGACGGUACUUGCAGCAGCAGGUACACCAGAGGCCGGUGGGACGUGGCGCUCCGAUACGGGUCCUCCGCGCGACGGGAGCUGAUACAGGAGAUGCGGUUCGGUAGCCUCAGCCCCUGGUGGUGGUGCGGCAUGGGCUGGCAGAAGAAGGAGCUACCGGCGGCCGCUAGGGGCUGCUAAGACCACGGAGACGACGAGGAUUCGGGUGUGGCCCGGAGGAACACGGAAGGGCUGCCACCUCGGGUCCUCGGUCUACGGUGGCAGCUCCUGCUGAUGAUGAUGAGCCCUCCACGGAUGAUGAUGCACGUCGGGCGACUACUGCUGGUCCUCAUCAAAUCCUCCUAGGGUCCGUCCUCCGGGCGCGGAGAAAGUUAGACAUAGGGUCAAACACGAUCGGAAGAAUUCCGUUUGGACAAAUUGAAUACAGAUAUGAGUCUAUAGCAACGAAGGCGACUGAGCACAUACUAGCUCAAGAACAUAAGCUCGGGAGCUCCGGGGACCGAACAUUAUACUACG